Molecule: ribosomal RNA, 445 nt
Filed under: uncultured bacterium
Lineage: Bacteria
Description: bacterial SSU rRNA
Rfam family: Bacterial small subunit ribosomal RNA
Source: RNAcentral
CCUACGGGAGGCAGCAGUGGGGAAUAUUGCACAAUGGGCGAAAGCCUGAUGCAGCGACGCCGCGUGAGGGAUGAAGGUCUUCGGAUUGUAAACCUCUUUCAGUAGGGACGAAGCGAAAGUGACGGUACCUAAAGAAGAAGCACCGGCUAACUACGUGCCAGCAGCCGCGGUAAUACGUAGGGUGCAAGCGUUGUCCGGAUUUAUUGGGCGUAAAGAGCUCGUAGGCGGUUAGACACGUCGGAUGUGAAAACUGGUGGCUCAACCACCAGCCUGCAUUCGAUACGGUCUGACUUGAAUGUGGUAGGGGUAACUGGAAUUCCUGGUGUAGCGGUGAAAUGCGCAGAUAUCAGGAGGAACACCGAUGGCGAAGGCAGGUUACUGGGCCAAUAUUGACGCUGAGGAGCGAAAGCGUGGGGAGCGAACAGGAUUAGAUACCCCAGUAGUC